UUCGGUUGAUCCUGCCGGAGGCUACCGCUAUUGGAGUUCGAUUAAGCCAUGCGAGUCGCGAGUCUUAGGGACUCGGCGUACCGCUCAGUAACACGUGGGUAACCUGCCCUAUGCUGGGAGAUAACCUCGGGAAACUGAGAAUAAUACCCCAUAGUUCACUACGCCUGGAACGGUGAGUGGAUGAAAGCUCCGGCGGCAUAGGAUGGGCCUGCGGCGUAUCAGGUUGUAGGGGGUGUAACGUACCCUCUAGCCCUCUACGCGUACGGGUGUUGGGAGACAUAGCCCGGAGAUGGAUUCUGAGACACGAAUCCAGACCCUACGGGGUGCAGCAGGCGCGAAAACUUGACAAUGCGAGAAAUCGUGAUCAGGGAACUCCAAGUGGCUGGGGUAAGACCCAGUCUUUUCUUGACUCUUCAAAGGUCUUGGAAUAAGGGGUGGGUAAGGACGGUGCCAGCCGCCGCGGUAAUACCGGCGCCCCAAGUGGUAGUCGCUUUUAUUGGGCCUAAAACGUCCGUAGCCGGUCUGGUACAUUCGUGGGUAAAUCAACCAGCUCAACUGGUUGAAUUCUGCGAGCACGGCCAGACUUGGGACCGGGAGAGGUGUGGGGUACUCUCAGGGUAGGGGUAAAAUCCUGUCAUCCUGAGAGGACCACCUGUUGCGAAGGCGCCACACUAGAACGGAUCCGACGGUCAGGGACGAAGCCUAGGGGCACGAACCGGAUUAGAUACCCGGGUAGUCCUAGGUGUAAACGCUGUGGACUUGAUGUUGGGGGCGCUCCGAGCGCACUCAGUGUCGAAGCGAAGGUGAUAAGUCCACUGCCUGGGGAGUACGGUCGCAAGGCUGAAACUUAAAGGAAUUGGCGGGGGAGCACCGCAACCUGAGGAUUGUGCGGUUUAAUUGGAUUCAACGCC
Molecule: ribosomal RNA, 911 nt
Filed under: uncultured marine archaeon
Lineage: Archaea
Description: bacterial SSU rRNA
Rfam family: Archaeal small subunit ribosomal RNA
Source: RNAcentral